AACGAACGCUGGCGGCAGGCCUAACACAUGCAAGUCGAGCGCACCCUUCGGGGUGAGCGGCGGGCGGGUGAGUAACGCGUGGGAACGUGCCCUUCUCUGCGGAAUAGCCUCGGGAAACUGAGAGUAAUACCGCAUACGCCCUUUGGGGGAAAGAUUUAUCGGAGAAGGAUCGGCCCGCGUUGGAUUAGGUAGUUGGUGGGGUAAUGGCCCACCAAGCCGACGAUCCAUAGCUGGUUUGAGAGGAUGAUCAGCCACACUGGGACUGAGACACGGCCCAGACUCCUACGGGAGGCAGCAGUGGGGAAUCUUAGACAAUGGGGGCAACCCUGAUCUAGCCAUGCCGCGUGAGUGAUGAAGGCCUUAGGGUUGUAAAGCUCUUUCAGCUGGGAAGAUAAUGACGGUACCAGCAGAAGAAGCCCCGGCUAACUCCGUG
RNAcentral lists this ribosomal RNA (433 nucleotides) under uncultured bacterium. RNAcentral's name for it is "partial 16S ribosomal RNA". It matches the Rfam family "Bacterial small subunit ribosomal RNA", at positions 29 to 507 of the family's 1533-position model. The record is from RNAcentral.